Molecule: long non-coding RNA, 7436 nt
Filed under: Sorghum bicolor (sorghum)
Lineage: Eukaryota; Viridiplantae; Streptophyta; Magnoliopsida; Poales; Poaceae
Description: long non-coding RNA (SBIC_LNC013436)
Source: RNAcentral
UCCACCGGGUGGAGUACCGAAUCAUAAGGGCAGACAGAAUUGAGAAGCAUGCCAGUGUCUGGAGGGAUGCUGACAUCAUAGUCUUCAAUUCUUACCUGUGGUGGAGGAAGCAGAAGGAUGACAUGAGGAUGAAGGUCAUGUAAGUACAUUUCUAUCCUUCCUAAUCAUAGUUCAUAGGCAUUUUGCACCGUCACUUUCGUAUAUCAGAAACAAGAUACCAGAACCGGUAAUUUAAAAUGCACUAAAUAGUUUGCCAUUAGUAAUUUAAAAUACACUAAAUAAUUAGCAAAUGCCAUUAGUACAAAGGAGAUCAUAUUUAGCAUUUUAAAUGCCAUUUGUAUGUGCAGGUAUGGUUCAUUUGAAGAUGGUGAUGCAAAGUUAGACGAAAUGGAAAUGGUCGAUGGUUUUGAGAUAGCUAUCAAGAAACUAACGGAAUGGCUUGGAGAGAAUAUUGACAAGAACAAGACUAGGAUCUUUUUUGCAGGAUCAUCACCAACACAUUCCUGGUGAGAGAGAUACCUAUGAAUCAUUUGCACAAAUAGUACAAUACCAACAUCUCCAUGACAUCCAGUGUUCACAUAUAUAUGUUACUUCAGGGCCAGCAACUGGGGUGGAGAAGACAAGAACAAAUGCCUUAAUGAAACGGAGCCAAUCUACAAAAAAGGUUACAAAGCUGCAACUACGGACUACAGCUUGAUGGCCACGGCCAAGUCCUAUUUUCGAACAUUGGAGCCAAAAGGCAUACAUGUUCAGAUACUGAACAUCACUGAACUGUCUGACUACCGCAAGGACGGGCAUCCUACGGUGUACAGGAAACAAUUUGUUCCUCUAACGAAGGAGCAAAUUGCAGAUCCAGCCAGCUAUGCUGAUUGCACGCAUUGGUGCCUCCCAGGAGUUCCCGAUGUCUGGAACGAGUUUUUAUAUGGCUACCUCGUGCACAAAUGAUGUACAAAAUGACAGGUUCCUUUUAUCCCUUUUAUAAAUAUGUACAAAUGACAUACUCCAUUUAGAUUAGGAUUCUCUUGUGCAGAGAAUGGUUGGACCUAUUACAUUUACAUGUAGAGACAGAUAAAAGGAGAAAAGAAAGGAUCUGUCUGUGCAUCACCUAAUAGGAUCGGUGUACUAUUUGUUUACAUCUAACAGGGUGACAUGAUUGUAAAUUUAGAAGAAAUUUGUCAUGGCAAAGAACAGCUUAAGAAUGAUUAACUGUCCUAGACUCCUAGAUGUCCCUUAUAUAUAUAUAUAUGUACAACUCCAUAUAGAUUAGGCUGCUUUAAUUUGUGCAGAGAAUUGUUGCCCCAUUACACUUACAUUACAUAUAGAUACAAAAGGAGAAAAGAAGGAGUCUAUCCAUAAUGUCCGCGAAAUUUUUUGGGUUUGACUACUGUAGCACUUUCGUUUGUAUUUGGUAAUUAUGGUCCAACCAUGGAUUAACUAGGCUUAAAAGAUAUUCGUCUCGCAAAUUACAGACAAAGUGUGAAUUUUUGGGAACUAAACAAGUCCUCAAAGAAUCACAUGUGCAUCAAUGUACUAUUUUUGUUGGCAUCUGACAGGGCAACAUAUUUCUGCAAAUUUCAAAGAAAUGUACCAUGACAAAGAACAGCUUAAGAGUGAGUGAAUAACUGUCCUGGAUGUUUCUGAAAUUUAAUACAUUUACUCGGAUUGCAUCCACUCAAAAAAAAAAACUUGGAUUGCAAAUGCAAAGCUGUUUUGCUUUUCAGAGAAUUUGCAAAUGUAACUGUAAACUUUAGAAAAUGCCUCGUUUAUUUAUUAUUAAAUGAGAGAGUUAUCACCCUUUAGUUAGCAAGGGCAGUUGUACACGGAGAAGAAAGGAAGAGUGACUAAAAUUCUAAAGUCCUAUAACAACUUACAUUUAGCGGUAACCGUACUUAAGCGGUAAAAUCUAAAAUGCAUUAAAUUAUGAUCCAGGGUGAUAGAACAUUCUACCUUUCAAAAACAAAAUGACAGACAUUCCAACUCUCAUUCUUGACGCAUGCGCCGGUAGAGAUAGCGGCACACAUAUCUUCUUCCUCUGUCUUCCUCCCCUCUCUCCCUCCGUGCCCAUCUUCCUCUCCUCUCGCUCGCUGCCCAGGCUGCCGGCGGCCUCGCAGCUCACCAUUUACCCCUGUCGGUCGAACCCGCUCUUCCCUAAUCCCAAUUCAGGAGUUCGCCGGCGACUCCUCGUCCCUGUCGCCGACACCACGCAUCCAGUUAUCUCCCUCUGCCUACUUGGUUGCGUCACUGCCACCUUGUUCAGUGCCCCUCAACCCGCCACCACCGCUGGGCUAGCAGCUGCCCCAUGGCCCCUCCUCCUAAGCCCACCGGCCAUAGAUGGUCGCAAAAUCUGACACCCUAACGAUCACUGCUGCCUCAUCCACCGCCCCAGUCAUGGCAACCUCGUCGCUGCCCGUUCCGCCCACCGCUCGCUCCUUGCCCUGCCCCUGCCCCCUUCUUCUUUAGUUCCGGCCAUGGGAUCGUCAUGUGCGUCGCUUCAGUUAGCUAGCGGCACACGUGCGCCUAAUAGUGAUUGGGUUCAGUGCAUAUAUUAUAAUAUUAUAUAUUAUAUUUGGCAUUUCGAGUCCAUUAAAGCUAAGCGUUCAACCACUACUUGCCUUUGCAGCUAGCCAAAGCACACUUGAUUAUUCUCUUAUAUUUUGUUUAAAAAAAAACUAUCGACAAGAGCUUCACCAAGCAUGCAUUGAUAAAAGAGGAGUAGGAUAAUAAAACACAAUAUCACAGACCCUCUCAACGACAACAAUCUAAAGAGAUCUAAGAACCGACGACAAAAGAUCACAAUAUGCGGGUGAGGCGCACGUGUGUGUGUGUGGGGGGGGGGUUGGGUGGGUGGGUGGGGGGGUGAUUCUCAACAACGGUGCCUCUAAAGAUAUUACGAUAUCCUUAGACUCUGACACUAUGGUUUUCAAUCAAGAUAAACCUAAAAGACUGAGGAUUUCAAAACAAUACCUCUAAUGAGGAACUGUGAUGCAAAAAAGGUUAUCAUAGUCGAAUCGACAAAGUCGAGCAGGGUGUUCACAUGAAAAUCCCCCACCUCCUAAUCCAACCCCCAAAACAAGUAGCCCUACAUUGCUGCACCAAACUAGCCAUCGCCCGUUGGAUGCAUUGUCUCUAGCAGCCAGCGUAAUUAGUGGGAAGAUGAUGCUAUGUUGACAAAGUCAUUGGUCUGCAUGACUUAUUAGCGCGGUGUCAGCUACCAACAGUCGCUACUAUCCCACCAAACACCGUUCACCACGUGUGGCCACACCAAGUUGCUGCAGUAGCCUCCUCCAUAAUCGUUGCAUUAGACCAACCAACGAGCUUGCAACUAUCAAGUCAAUUCCCCACAUAGGCACGAGGAGCCACCUUCAACUAGUCGUACCUCUAAAAGACUGGUCGCAGACAUGUGCGGCCACUUACUGCGAUGCCAGUCAACAUGGACCGUAGCCAACCGAGUUGUUACCAACACCUUACAGAGCACCCAAGUUGAGACCUAACAACUAUGUUGUUUGCUCGUUGUAGAGCCCACCAUGCGCCAUGGCCACUAUGCGCCCCUGGAGCCUCCUCUAGCCUUUUCUUCACAACCGGUGACGAGGUGUGGCUGCCCCUCCUCGUGGGCACGCAUAGGUCCAGCUUGCUGUGCUCUCCACCACUGUUGAUGCACCCGAGCCAAGUUUCUAGGAUUCAUUUUGGAAUUUUUUUUGGCCCCAAUCGAAAUGGACAAAUUUUGGAAACUUCGGUUGAAUUUCGGACUCAAAUUGAUGAUUUUCAAGAUUUGAAUCACAAAAUUUGUUUCAAACCUAACUGAAAUGGACGAACUUCACCUAAGCCUUUCUUUUGGUCUUUGGAGCCACUCAUCUUUUGCUAUGCUUAAAGAAGGCAUGCAAAAAGGGCGUGUGAUUUAGCACCAAGUAGGGUCAUUUUAAGAUACCAAACCAGAACAAAGAUAGGAUGUGUUCAUUUGUGAUUUUACCUCUAGGUACUUGCAUCAGAUUUAAAUAAUCAUAGCGCUCCCAAACAACUGCAAUAAUGAGGAUAAGCCCUACUACUUUUUGGGGGUAGAAAGUAAGGAAAGGAAGGAAAACAAAAGGCAAGGCUAAUCAUUGAUUGUGUUUGCACAACUCAACGUUUUUCAGCAGUUUUUCUUUAAAGGAAUUCACACCGCAUUGUCUUCAAAAGCAACGCAUUUGUAUCUCACUUAUUUUUGUUGAUACACUGAUAGGCCAAUAUGAUGGCCCCCUUUGAUGUCAUGUGCACACAUUUGGGCAAAAGUCUGCAGUGGUUGACUCAGAUUACUAAAUUAAUCUGAAGUAUGCAUGCAUGUGGGCUUGUGCAAAACAUGAAGCUUUACAGUGUAUCCUUGAGAAAAGAAGAAGAGCGAGUAAUUGUGUAGCUUAAAAUAGAAUGCUCAAUUUACACUAAGUUUAUGCAUACAUUGGCCAAAUGGAUCAUGACAAAUUCCCCUUUUUAACAUGAAACCUGCCACAUAAAAAAAAGGAUCACAAACCGUAUCAUGCGCCUCGCAGCAAUGCUUCAUAUUUAGGUAGGGAGAAGGGACCCAUGACAAACUUAAAUUAUUCACUAAUGUACUGUGUUCGACAGAACGAGCAAUUUGCAGAGAUAAUUCCUUAUUGAGAAUUCUGGAAAGCUGAAAGUAUUAGUUCUCAGGGAAUCAAAGACAGUGCACAUAUUGGUUUACUAUAGAGGAUAACCAGAAAUAGAGGAUUAUGAUGAUUUGAAUUCAAACAUCAGUGAUCUUUGCAUUCAGGCGCUCAAUAGCUUUAGAUUAAUCAUUAUUUAUGCUAGGCAAUAAUGCAUGCUGGCUAUCAGCCCAUCACCUUUUUUUUUGAGAUGCACUCAUUGGUCUUUUGGAGGUGACACACUCAGUAGUGUUUCAGACUUUCAGUCCUUUGUUUAUUGGCAUGCACAGUACUAGCUAGCAAUGUUUUCUGGUCGGCUGGUCGAUCCUGGGACCGACCUGGCGAUUAAUCGUGAUUAAUCAGCGACCAGGUCGAUUAAUCGACCCUGGUCGUCCCCCUGGUCGUCCCUGGUCGUCCAGGCAUAUCAGCUGGUCGACCUAUAUAUAUACCUCUAUAUAUACACUAUAUUAUACACAAUAAAGGAAGCAUCAAAACUGCAUUACUGUAAACCAACAUUCAUCUUCACCUUCAACUCUUUUUGAUGUAAACCACCAUCUCCUUCUUAACUAUUUCUGAACUGGGACAACCAACAACAUCUCCAUACCCCCCACAUAUCUGCCCAGUCAAAAAAGCCCAAAAACAGAGCACACAACCUGGUCGUCCAUGUCCUAAUCGAACGAUUAAUCGCGAUAAGUGGACGACUAAUCGGACGACCAGGUUUCUGGUCGACCUGGUCGGGUCGGACCUCCUAAUCGAGCACUCCUGACCGACCAGGACGAUUAAUCGCGAUUAAUCGGACGACCUGAAAACAUUGCUAGCUAGUCCUAUCUAUAAUGGUUGGUGUGAGUGGAUUGGUGCAGCCGUCGGUGACACAAAUAAACACUUCUACAUUUUCAUUUUUUUUCAUUUUUAUUUUUGGAAAAAAUACUAGUGACAGGUAGAUAAUAUCUGGAGCACAAAUGAUACUCAUCUAUAGAUGAUUUUGCAAAUUCAGACAGUAGUAUAACCGUAACACACCGAUGUAUACACAAAAACUUUCUAUUUCUGAUUUCCGUACAAGGGCUAUUCUAACUACUUUGAACUGCAAAAAAUUUCAUCUCUACACCAACAUUCCAAAUAGUCCGACACUGCCCCCUUUUGGUGGUUAGCGAGCCCAAGGGUCAAAGUUCAGGUAGCUUGAUUAUCACUACUUUAUCUAGAACUGGACCAUAUAGCCAUGUGCAGGCGUGUUGCUAGCAGCAUUGCCAUUGUACAGACUCGAUAGGUGACCAUAAAAGAGGAGAGCUAAUAAGCACUGUCUUCUGAGGAAAAAAAUGAAGACAGAGGUCAGUCACAAGGCGAUAGCAGCAGGUGGCAAGAUGACAGUGCUCCAUGCUCCAGUUGGAGUGAGGAGCAUCGCCACCUCCUUGGUGGCUUUCUUCAUCUUGGCCAGCUCCAUCGUCUUCCUCUUCGACAAAGGCCAGGAAGAUCGAGUGCAAAUGGCAGUCGAGCAUGGACGCCAAGAAGUGCAGGUGAAGCUGGAAACUGGGCUACAAGAACCAGCGAUCAGAGGGACAACUGAAGAGGGGGACGCCAGCAACGAGGAGUGCAACUGGUCGAGGGGGCAGUGGGUGUAUGACAAUGUGUCCCGGCCAUUGUACAACGGGCUCAAGUGCACCUUCAUCUUCCCCGAGGUGGCCUGUGACAAGUAUGGAAGGAAGGAUGUCAUGUACCAGCACUGGAGAUGGCAGCCUCAUGGAUGCGACCUCCCAAGGUAUGAUGAUUAUUACAGAUUUCCCAAGUAUUUUUAGCUCAAGCCCAAAAAAUUCAGCAUGUCUGAACUUCUGAAGGUGCAGUUUUCAAAUGAUAAGGUCUAUCAGUACAAGUCAAGAAUUUUCCAAGGGUAGUAAAUGUUUUUGUUUUAUAGAAGCAUAAAAAUACUCAGAUAAUCUGUAACUGAAUAAAAACACAGGAUAGUACACCAGAAAGGAAGAAACGAUUGCAAAACUUAUCUCAUUAGAGUGGUUAGUCGUUAGCUGCAUGGCAACUAAUUUUUUAGGCAACUAAUUGACAGUGAAAGAUCCUACCUUUUUAUUUUUAUCAUCUGUACUGUUUUAAAAGCUUGUAUAUAAGAGUAGAAAGGAGAUCAUAUUUAGCAUAACUUUGCAUAGAAUUUUUUUGACAUGCUGUCUGAAUUUUACCUUUUUAAAACAGAUUCGAUGCCAUCAAGCUGCUUGAAAAGCUGAGGAACAAAAGAUUGGUGUUUGUGGGUGACUCAGUCAACAGGAACCAAUGGGUCUCUCUCGUGUGCAUGGUGGAGGCCUCAAUACCCGAUGACAGGCUCAAGACACGCAUCUUCAAUGGCGCGCUCAUCUCCUUCAAGGCAUUGGUAUGCUUCCCUUAACAAAUCUACAGGCUACAGAAACUAACAAUUUUAUCUGGUUAGCUGGUCUGAACAUAUAAUCAUUUUCAGGAAUACAAUGCAACAAUAGAUUUCUACUGGUCACCACUACUGGUGGAGUCUAACAGCGACAACCCCAUUAUCCACCGGGUGGAGUACCGGAUCAUAAGGGCAGACAGAAUUGAGAAGCAUGCCAGUGUCUGGAGGGAUGCUGACAUCAUUGUCUUCAAUUCUUACCUGUGGUGGAGGAAGCAGAAGGAUGACAUGAGGAUGAAGGUCAUGUAACUUCCUAAUCAUAGCUCAAAGGUAUAGAACCGUCAGUUUCGCAUAUCAGGAAAAAGAUACUAGAACUGGUAAUUUAAAAUGCAUUAACAUAGUUACUGCAAUCAGCGAAUAGGUAAUCAACACUUUUAUGUGCAGGU